Molecule: ribosomal RNA, 497 nt
Filed under: uncultured bacterium
Lineage: Bacteria
Description: partial 16S ribosomal RNA
Rfam family: Bacterial small subunit ribosomal RNA
Source: RNAcentral
GAUGAACGCUGGCGGCGUGCCUAAUACAUGCAAGUCGAGCGAACAGACGAGGAGCUUGCUCCUCUGACGUUAGCGGCGGACGGGUGAGUAACACGUGGAUAAUCUACCUAUAAGACUGGGAUAACUUCGGGAAACCGGAGCUAAUACCGGAUAAUAUAUUGAACCGCAUGGUUCAAUAGUGAAAGACGGUUUUGCUGUCUCUUAUAGAUGGAUCCGCGCCGCAUUAGAUAGUUGGUAAGGUAACGGCUUACCAAGGCAACGAUGCGUAGCCGACCUGAGAGGGUGAUCGGCCACACUGGAACUGAGACACGGUCCAGACUCCUACGGGAGGCAGCAGUAGGGAAUCUUCCGCAAUGGGCGAAAGCCUGACGGAGCAACGCCGCGUGAGUGAUGAAGGUCUUCGGAUCGUAAAACUCUGUUAUUAGGGAAGAACAAAUGUGUAAGUAACUAUGCACGUCUUGACGGUACCUAAUCAGAAAGCCACGGCUAACUACGUG